UCAAUUUAGGGCAAGUGUCACGCGCGCG
Molecule: small RNA, 28 nt
Filed under: Bombyx mori (domestic silkworm)
Lineage: Eukaryota; Metazoa; Arthropoda; Insecta; Lepidoptera; Bombycidae
Description: ovarian small RNA-24937
Source: RNAcentral